This 560-nucleotide ribosomal RNA is filed under the name uncultured bacterium. Its description in RNAcentral is "partial 16S ribosomal RNA". It matches the Rfam family "Bacterial small subunit ribosomal RNA", at positions 355 to 906 of the family's 1533-position model. The record is from RNAcentral.
UGGGGAAUUUUGGACAAUGGGGGAAACCCUGAUCCAGCCAUCCCGCGUGUGCGAUGAAGGCCUUCGGGUUGUAAAGCACUUUUGGCAGGAAAGAAACGUCGCGGGUUAAUACCCCGCGAAACUGACGGUACCUGCAGAAUAAGCACCGGCUAACUACGUGCCAGCAGCCGCGGUAAUACGUAGGGUGCAAGCGUUAAUCGGAAUUACUGGGCGUAAAGCGUGCGCAGGCGGUUCGGAAAGAAAGAUGUGAAAUCCCAGAGCUUAACUUUGGAACUGCAUUUUUAACUACCGGGCUAGAGUGUGUCAGAGGGAGGUGGAAUUCCGCGUGUAGCAGUGAAAUGCGUAGAUAUGCGGAGGAACACCGAUGGCGAAGGCAGCCUCCUGGGAUAACGCUGACGCUCAUGCACGAAAGCGUGGGGAGCAAACAGGAUUAGAUACCCUGGUAGUCCACGCCCUAAACGAUGUCAACUAGCUGUUGGGGGCCUUCGGGCCUUGGUAGCGCAGCUAACGCGUGAAGUUGACCGCCUGGGGAGUACGGUCGGCAAGAUUAAAACUCAAAU